This 433-nucleotide long non-coding RNA is filed under the name Dromaius novaehollandiae (emu). RNAcentral's name for it is "lncRNA (ENSDNVG00000007392.1)". The record is from RNAcentral. Lineage: Eukaryota; Metazoa; Chordata; Aves; Casuariiformes; Dromaiidae.
UCUGCUAGCUUCAUUGAAACUGUACAUCCAUACGACGGUUCAUCUCUAGGGCAAUAGUUCAGGAAUGAAAGUAAUUGGUUUUACUGCUUUGGAUUGACCAACAGUCCUGUAUCGCUGCAAGGCCAGAAAGUCAAGCUAAGAUGCCAUCUGUUUUGCUGCAGAAGUGCUAUUCUGCAAGCCAGGAUUGUUUUUGAGAAGGCUUAAGAAUAUUUUCAGAUUGUACUCAUUCAAGAACUCUUCCAGAUGAACUCCUUGAAGCAGUGAGCCUCUCCAACAAGGCUGAUCUUGGUGAUACUGCAGUGAAGCUCUCUAUACUCUGAAGCUGAAGGUAUUUUUGAUAUUGGUUCGUAUCUCCAAAAACUUACCGAUUUAAAUCCUUAUGGCAGUGAUUGUCAUAAACAAGCCUUUGCUUCAGAGGAGAGAGUAAGAAAGG